GCGACCAUAGCGCAGCCGGUAGCGCUUUUGCCUACCACGCCAGAGGCCACAGGUUCGAUUCUUGGUGACUGCA
This 73-nucleotide transfer RNA is filed under the name Caenorhabditis japonica. It matches the Rfam family "tRNA". Rfam says of the family: Transfer RNA (tRNA) molecules are approximately 80 nucleotides in length. Their secondary structure includes four short double-helical elements and three loops (D, anti-codon, and T loops). The record is from Rfam by way of RNAcentral. Lineage: Eukaryota; Metazoa; Nematoda; Chromadorea; Rhabditida; Rhabditidae.